UUAUUGCCGUUUUUGAAUGAGGGAUAGAAAGGGAAAUCCUUUUUUGCAUUUUUUUCGCAAAAAAGAUUGAACUGUAUAGCCCGACCCGCU
Molecule: small RNA, 90 nt
Organism: Flavobacterium sp. FPG59
Lineage: Bacteria; Pseudomonadati; Bacteroidota; Flavobacteriia; Flavobacteriales; Flavobacteriaceae
Rfam family: Flavo-1 RNA
Source: Rfam